RNAcentral lists this ribosomal RNA (480 nucleotides) under uncultured bacterium. Its description in RNAcentral is "bacterial SSU rRNA". It matches the Rfam family "Bacterial small subunit ribosomal RNA", at positions 28 to 491 of the family's 1533-position model. The record is from RNAcentral.
GAUGAACGCUAGCGGCAUGCCUAAUACAUGCAAGUCGAACGAGAGGAAGGAAAGCUUGCUUUUCUGAAUCUAGUGGCGAACGGGUGAGUAACACGUAGGUAACCUGCCCAUGUGCCCGGGAUAACUUCUGGAAACGGAUGCUAAAACCGGAUAGGUAGCAGACAAGCAUUUGACUGCUAUUAAAGUGGCUAAGGCCAUGAACAUGGAUGGACCUGCGGUGCAUUAGCUAGUUGGUGAGGUAACGGCCCACCAAGGCGACGAUGCAUAGCCGGCCUGAGAGGGCGGACGGCCACAUUGGGACUGAGACACGGCCCAAACUCCUACGGGAGGCAGCAGUAGGGAAUUUUCGUCAAUGGGGGGAACCUUGAACGAGCAAUGCCGCGUGAGUGAAGAAGGUCUUCGGAUCGUAAAGCUCUGUUGUAAGAGAAAAACGACAUUCAUAGGGAAUGAUGAGUGAGUGAUGGUAUCUUACCAGAAAGU